Molecule: transfer RNA, 73 nt
Filed under: Paramuricea clavata
Lineage: Eukaryota; Metazoa; Cnidaria; Anthozoa; Malacalcyonacea; Plexauridae
Rfam family: tRNA
About the family: Transfer RNA (tRNA) molecules are approximately 80 nucleotides in length. Their secondary structure includes four short double-helical elements and three loops (D, anti-codon, and T loops). Further hydrogen bonds mediate the characteristic L-shaped molecular structure. tRNAs have two regions of fundamental functional importance: the anti-codon, which is responsible for specific mRNA codon recognition, and the 3' end, to which the tRNAs corresponding amino acid is attached (by aminoacyl-tRNA synthetases). tRNAs cope with the degeneracy of the genetic code in two manners: having more than one tRNA (with a specific anti-codon) for a particular amino acid; and 'wobble' base-pairing, i.e. permitting non-standard base-pairing at the 3rd anti-codon position.
Source: Rfam by way of RNAcentral
GACCGCGUAGCUCAGUUGGAAGAGCAUUGGGCUAGUAUUCCAAAGGUCCUAGGUUCGAAUCCCGCCGUGGCCA